GCCUGGCACAGUGGCUGUGCCUGUCAUCCCUGUUACUUGGGAGACUGAGGCAGGAGGAUCACAAGUGCAAGGUCAGCCCCAGCAAUGUAGCAAGACCCUGUCUCAA
RNAcentral lists this small RNA (106 nucleotides) under Marmota monax (woodchuck). Lineage: Eukaryota; Metazoa; Chordata; Mammalia; Rodentia; Sciuridae. The record is from RNAcentral.